This is a non-coding RNA of Trichobilharzia regenti, 45 nucleotides long. NCBI's taxonomy places the organism in Eukaryota, Metazoa, Platyhelminthes, Trematoda, Strigeidida, Schistosomatidae. The record is from Rfam.
GUACUGAUGAAGAGUCCCAAACCUGGACGAACAGCUGUCCAGUAC